This 559-nucleotide ribosomal RNA is filed under the name uncultured fungus. RNAcentral's name for it is "eukaryotic LSU rRNA". The stretch from base 139 to 292 matches the Rfam family "5.8S ribosomal RNA". Lineage: Eukaryota; Fungi. The record is from RNAcentral.
UCCGAGGUAACUCGGUCGGGAGGAAUGCUGCGCUCUUUGCGUCGGCUUUCUUUGCACUUCCAAGCCUACGUUUUUUUCAUAUACCCGUAGUAUGUAACAGAAUGUAUCAUUGGGCCUAAGUGCCUAUAAACCUUAUACAACUUUCAGCAACGGAUCUCUUGGCUCUCGCAUCGAUGAAGAACGCAGCGAAAUGCGAUAAGUAAUGUGAAUUGCAGAAUUCAGUGAAUCAUCGAAUCUUUGAACGCACCUUGCGCUCCUUGGUAUUCCGAGGAGCAUGCCUGUUUGAGUGUCAUUUAAUUCUCAACCUUAUUAGUUUCUGCUGAUAAUGGCUUGGAUGUGGGGGUUUUCUUUUGCUGGCUUUCGUCAGCUCCCCUUAAAUGCAUUAGCUGGUGCCCCGCGUGGACUGUCCGUUCGGUGUGAUAAUUAUCUACGCCGUGGAUGUCUGCAAAUAGGGUUUGCACUGCUUCUAACCGUCUGUUCAUUUGGACAAUACAUGACAAUUUGACCUCAAAUCAGGUAGGACUACCCGCUGAACUUAAGCAUAUCAAUAAGCGGAGGA